CGGGUGAGUAAUGCCUGGGAAAUUGCCCUGAUGUGGGGGAUAACCAUUGGAAACGAUGGCUAAUACCGCAUAAUAGCUUCGGCUCAAAGAGGGGGACCUUCGGGCCUCUCGCGUCAGGAUAUGCCCAGGUGGGAUUAGCUAGUUGGUGAGGUAAUGGCUCACCAAGGCGACGAUCCCUAGCUGGUCUGAGAGGAUGAUCAGCCACACUGGAACUGAGACACGGUCCAGACUCCUACGGGAGGCAGCAGUGGGGAAUAUUGCACAAUGGGCGCAAGCCUGAUGCAGCCAUGCCGCGUGUAUGAAGAAGGCCUUCGGGUUGUAAAGUACUUUCAGCAGUGAGGAAGGCGGGUACGUUAAUAGCGUGCUUGUUUGACGUUAGCUGCAGAAGAAGCACCGGCUAACUCCGUGCCAGCAGCCGCGGUAAUACGGAGGGUGCGAGCGUUAAUCGGAAUUACUGGGCGUAAAGCGCAUGCAGGUGGUUUGUUAAGUCAGAUGUGAAAGCCCGGGGCUCAACCUCGGAAUUGCAUUUGAAACUGGCAGACUAGAGUACUGUAGAGGGG
RNAcentral lists this ribosomal RNA (560 nucleotides) under Vibrio sp. NH87-55. RNAcentral describes it as "bacterial SSU rRNA". It matches the Rfam family "Bacterial small subunit ribosomal RNA", at positions 103 to 659 of the family's 1533-position model. The record is from RNAcentral. Lineage: Bacteria; Pseudomonadati; Pseudomonadota; Gammaproteobacteria; Vibrionales; Vibrionaceae.